GACAGUGUGUCUUAGUGGUUAGAGCACCUGACUGGGACUCAGGAGACCUGGAUUCUAUUUCUGGGUCA
RNAcentral lists this transfer RNA (68 nucleotides) under Chelonia mydas (Green sea turtle). It matches the Rfam family "tRNA". From Rfam's summary of the family: Transfer RNA (tRNA) molecules are approximately 80 nucleotides in length. Their secondary structure includes four short double-helical elements and three loops (D, anti-codon, and T loops). Lineage: Eukaryota; Metazoa; Chordata; Testudines; Cheloniidae. The record is from Rfam by way of RNAcentral.